AUACAUGCAAGUCGAACGAACUCUGGUAUUGAUUGGUGCUUGCAUCAUGAUUUACAUUUGAGUGAGUGGCGAACUGGUGAGUAACACGUGGGAAACCUGCCCAGAAGCGGGGGAUAACACCUGGAAACAGAUGCUAAUACCGCAUAACAACUUGGACCGCAUGGUCCGAGUUUGAAAGAUGGCUUCGGCUAUCACUUUUGGAUGGUCCCGCGGCGUAUUAGCUAGAUGGUGGGGUAACGGCUCACCAUGGCAAUGAUACGUAGCCGACCUGAGAGGGUAAUCGGCCACAUUGGGACUGAGACACGGCCCAAACUCCUACGGGAGGCAGCAGUAGGGAAUCUUCCACAAUGGACGAAAGUCUGAUGGAGCAACGCCGCGUGAGUGAAGAAGGGUUUCGGCUCGUAAAACUCUGUUGUUAAAGAAGAACAUAUCUGAGAGUAACUGUUCAGGUAUUGACGGUAUUUAACCAGAAAGCCACGGCUAACUACGUGCCAGCAGCCGCGGUAAUACGUAGGUGGCAAGCGUUGUCCGGAUUUAUUGGGCGUAAAGCGAGCGCAGGCGGUUUUUUAAGUCUGAUGUGAAAGCCUUCGGCUCAACCGAAGAAGUGCAUCGGAAACUGGGAAACUUGAGUGCAGAAGAGGACAGUGGAACUCCAUGUGUAGCGGUGAAAUGCGUAGAUAUAUGGAAGAACACCAGUGGCGAAGGCGGCUGUCUGGUCUGUAACUGACGCUGAGGCUCGAAAGUAUGGGUAGCAAACAGGAUUAGAUACCCUGGUAGUCCAUACCGUAAACGAUGAAUGCUAAGUGUUGGAGGGUUUCCGCCCUUCAGUGCUGCAGCUAACGCAUUAAGCAUUCCGCCUGGGGAGUACGGCCGCAAGGCUGAAACUCAAAGGAAUUGACGGGGGCCCGCACAAGCGGUGGAGCAUGUGGUUUAAUUCGAAGCUACGCGAAGAACCUUACCAGGUCUUGACAUACUAUGCAAAUCUAAGAGAUUAGACGUUCCCUUCGGGGACAUGGAUACAGGUGGUGCAUGGUUGUCGUCAGCUCGUGUCGUGAGAUGUUGGGUUAAGUCCCGCAACGAGCGCAACCCUUAUUAUCAGUUGCCAGCAUUAAGUUGGGCACUCUGGUGAGACUGCCGGUGACAAACCGGAGGAAGGUGGGGAUGACGUCAAAUCAUCAUGCCCCUUAUGACCUGGGCUACACACGUGCUACAAUGGAUGGUACAACGAGUUGCGAACUCGCGAGAGUAAGCUAAUCUCUUAAAGCCAUUCUCAGUUCGGAUUGUAGGCUGCAACUCGCCUACAUGAAGUCGGAAUCGCUAGUAAUCGCGGAUCAGCAUGCCGCGGUGAAUACGUUCCCGGGCCUUGUACACACCGCCCGUCACACCAUGAGAGUUUGUAACACCCAAAGUCGGUGGGGUAACCUUUUAGGAACCAGCCGCCUAAGGUGGGACAGAUGAUUAGGGUGAAGUCGUAACAA
RNAcentral lists this ribosomal RNA (1478 nucleotides) under Lactiplantibacillus plantarum. RNAcentral's name for it is "bacterial SSU rRNA". It matches the Rfam family "Bacterial small subunit ribosomal RNA". The record is from RNAcentral. Lineage: Bacteria; Bacillati; Bacillota; Bacilli; Lactobacillales; Lactobacillaceae.